GUAAGUUCCGACCUGCACGAAUGGCGUAACGAUGGCGGCGCUGUCUCCACCCGAGACUCAGUGAAAUUGAAAUCGCUGUGAAGAUGCAGUGUAUCCGCGGCUAGACGGAAAGACCCCGUGAACCUUUACUAUAGCUUUGCACUGGACUUUGAAUUUGCUUGUGUAGGAUAGGUGGGAGGCUUUGAAGCGUGGACGCCAGUCUGCGUGGAGCCAACCUUGAAAUACCACCCUGGCAACUUUGAGGUUCUAACUCAGGUCCGUUAUCCGGAUCGAGGACAGUGUAUGGUGGGUAGUUUGACUGGGGCGGUCUCCUCCUAAAGAGUAACGGAGGAGUACGAAGGUGCGCUCAGACCGGUCGGAAAUCGGUCGUAGAGUAUAAAGGCAAAAGCGCGCUUGACUGCGAGACAGACACGUCGAGCAGGUACGAAAGUAGGUCUUAGUGAUCCGGUGGUUCUGUAUGGAAGGGCCAUCGCUCAACGGAUAAAAGGUACUCCGGGGAUAACAGGCUGAUACCGCCCAAGAGUUCAUAUCGACGGCGGUGUUUGGCACCUCGAUGUCGGCUCAUCACAUCCUGGGGCUGAAGCCGGUCCCAAGGGUAUGGCUGUUCGCCAUUUAAAGUGGUACGCGAGCUGGGUUUAGAACGUCGUGAGACAG
This 654-nucleotide ribosomal RNA is filed under the name Corynebacterium sp. HMSC14B06. RNAcentral describes it as "bacterial LSU rRNA". It matches the Rfam family "Bacterial large subunit ribosomal RNA", at positions 1976 to 2629 of the family's 2925-position model. Lineage: Bacteria; Bacillati; Actinomycetota; Actinomycetes; Mycobacteriales; Corynebacteriaceae. The record is from RNAcentral.